Molecule: ribosomal RNA, 253 nt
Filed under: uncultured bacterium
Lineage: Bacteria
Description: partial 16S ribosomal RNA
Rfam family: Bacterial small subunit ribosomal RNA
Source: RNAcentral
UACGUAGGGUGCAAGCGUUAAUCGGAAUUACUGGGCGUAAAGCGUGCGCAGGCAGUUUUGUAAGUCUGUCGUGAAAGCCCCGGGCUCAACCUGGGAAUUGCGAUGGAGACUGCAAGGCUUGAAUCUGGCAGAGGGGGGUAGAAUUCCACGUGUAGCAGUGAAAUGCGUAGAGAUGUGGAGGAACACCGAUGGCGAAGGCAGCCCCCUGGGUCAAGAUUGACGCUCAUGCACGAAAGCGUGGGGAGCAAACAGG